UGCGUAGGUGGUUUCUUAAGUCAGGAGUGAAAGGCUACGGCUUAACCGUAGUAAGCUCUUGAAACUGGGAAACUUGAGUGCAGGAGAGGAAAGUGGAAUUCCUAGUGUAGCGGUGAAAUGCGUAGAUAUUGGGAGGAACACCAGUGGCGAAGGCGCCUUUCUGGACUGUGUCUGACGCUGAGAUGCGAAAGCCAGGGUAGCGAACG
This 206-nucleotide ribosomal RNA is filed under the name uncultured bacterium. RNAcentral describes it as "partial 16S ribosomal RNA". It matches the Rfam family "Bacterial small subunit ribosomal RNA", at positions 568 to 774 of the family's 1533-position model. The record is from RNAcentral.